RNAcentral lists this small RNA (203 nucleotides) under Triticum aestivum (bread wheat). Lineage: Eukaryota; Viridiplantae; Streptophyta; Magnoliopsida; Poales; Poaceae. The record is from RNAcentral.
CCGGGCGCUCGGAGGAACGAAACUCGCUGAUGUUUAGUCCCACCUCGGCCAGCGUAGGGGAGACACACCGGUUUAUAAGCCUGAGCGCGGCAGCAGACUUGUCCCUUCGGGGACAUCCGAUAAAAUUGGAACGAUACAGAGAAGAUUAGCAUGGCCCCUGCGCAAGAAUGACACGCACAAAUCGAGAAAUGGUCCAAAUUUUU